RNAcentral lists this long non-coding RNA (219 nucleotides) under Ananas comosus (pineapple). Its description in RNAcentral is "long non-coding RNA (ACOM_LNC036403)". Lineage: Eukaryota; Viridiplantae; Streptophyta; Magnoliopsida; Poales; Bromeliaceae. The record is from RNAcentral.
CUCCCCGUCGUAUCUGAAAAAUUCUAGAAUGUAACAGAUAUAUUAAUAAUGUGGCAUAAUAAAUUAAUCAAAUAUUUUUUUAAAAAAAUAUAUAUUUUAUUAUGAUUGUAAAAAAUUAUUUUUAUUAUAUAUUUAUUUGAAAAAAAAAAAUAUGAUUGACUUGUUAUUAAUGAUACGAUAUAAGUGUGAUAGUAUAGAAUUCCUCACCGUUUUGUCUUG